GUUGUCCGGAUUUAUUGGGCGUAAAGAGCGUGUAGGCGGCCAGGUAGGUCCGUUGUGAAAACUCGAGGCUCAACCUCGAGACGUCGGCGGAAACCCUCUGGCUAGAGUCCGGAAGAGGAGAGUGGAAUUCCUGGUGUAGCGGUGAAAUGCGCAGAUAUCAGGAAGAACACCCGUGGCGAAGGCGGCUCUCUGGGACGGUACUGACGCUGAGACGCGAAAGCGUGGGGAGCAAACAGG
RNAcentral lists this ribosomal RNA (237 nucleotides) under uncultured bacterium. RNAcentral describes it as "partial 16S ribosomal RNA". It matches the Rfam family "Bacterial small subunit ribosomal RNA", at positions 540 to 776 of the family's 1533-position model. The record is from RNAcentral.